AGCCCAAACCAGUUUUGUUUCGGCAAGACUGGGGUUGUAGGACCUCUAUAUAGGAAGACAAGAUUAGGAGAACGGUCUGGAAAGGCCGGCCAUAGAACAUGAAAGCUGUGUAUCCGAAAAUCUUCGUUGGACUUAGAGGUAUCCUGAGUAGCGCGGGACACGUGAAAUCCUGUGUGAAUCUGCGGGGCCCAUCCCGUAAGGCUAAAUACUCCCGAGAGACCGAUAGUGAACCAGUACCGUGAGGGAAAGGUGAAAAGAACCUCGAACAGAGGAGUGCAAUAGAUCCUGAACCCGUCUGCCUACAAGCGGUAGGAGCAGCCCUGUGCUGUGACUGCGUGCCUUUUGCAUAAUGAACCUACGAGUUACUUUCUCUGGCAAGGUUAAGUGAUGAAGAGUCACGUGAGCCGAAGCGAAAGCGAGUCUGAAUAGGGCGAAUUAGUCAGAGGGAGUAGACGCGAAACCAAGUGAUCUACCCUUGGUCAGGUUGAAGGUUGGGUAAAACCAACUGGAGGACCGCACCGGUAAGCGUUGAAAAGCUUUCGGAUGAACUGAGGGUAGGGGUGAAAGGCUAAUCAAACUUGGAGAUAGCUCGUACUCCCCGAAAUGCAUUUAGGUGCAGCCUGUGGAGUUUCUUACGUGAGGUAGAGCGACUGAUUGGAUGCGAGGCUUUCACCGGCUAUCAAGUCCAGACAAACUCCGAAUGCACGUUAAGUAAGAUCCACGGAGUGAGGGCAUGGGUGCUAAGGUCCAUGUCCGAGAGGAGAAGAAUCCAGACCAUCGGCUAAGGUCCCGAAAUAAUAGCUAAGUUGACCAAACGAAGUCAGAGUGCGAAGACAGCUAGGAUGUUGGCUUGGAAGCAGCCAUUCAUUUAAAGAGUGCGUAACAGCUCACUAGUCGAGUGCUUUGGCGUGGAUAAUAAUCGGGCAUAAGCUAUUUACCGAAGCUGUGGGAUGUGUAAACAUCGGUAGGGGAGCAUUCUAGCGACGCUGAAGGUGAGAGGACAACUCUUGCUGGAGUUUCUAGAAAAGCAAAUGUAGGUAUAAGUAACGAUAAAGGAGGUGAGAAACCUCCUCGCCGAAAGACUAAGGUUUCCUGAUCAACGCUAAUCGGAUCAGGGUUAGUCGGGGCCUAAGGGGAAGCCGAACGGCGCACCCGAUGGAAGAACCGGUUAAUAUUCCGGUACUAAUUAUGUGAGCGAUGUGGAGACGGAGAUGUGACGGUCCUGCCACCUGACGGAAUAGGUGGUUGAAGGGUGUAGGAGUUGAUCUGAGUAGGCAAAUCCGCUCGGAGAUCCGAACCUGACAGUACUCUGAGUGCUUGCACAAGGAGAUAUGGACAACUGUAACGGUGCUCCCAAGAAAAUCCGCUAAGCAUAUUGCAUGAUUACCCGUACCACAAACCGACACAGGUGGUUGGGUUGAGUAUACUAAGGCGCUCGAGUGAUUCGCGGUUAAGGAACUAGGCAAAAUAGUCCUGUAACUUCGGAAUAAAGGACGCUCACAGUGAAGGCUGUGAGCCGCAGAGAAUAGGCCCAGGCGACUGUUUAACAAAAACACAUGGCUAUGCUAAAUCGAAAGAUACUGUAUAUAGCCUGACACCUGCCCGGUGCUGGAAGGUUAAGAGGAGAUGUCAUCGCAAGAGAAGCAUUGAAUUGAAGCCCCAGUAAACGGCGGCCGUAACUAUAACGGUCCUAAGGUAGCGAAAUUCCUUGUCGGGUAAGUUCCGACCUGCACGAAUGGUGUAACGAUCUGGGUACUGUCUCAACCGCGAGCUCGGUGAAAUUGUAGUAUCGGUGAAGAUGCCGAUUACCCGCAAUGGGACGAAAAGACCCUGUGAACCUUUACUAUAACUUCGUAUUGACUUUGAGUAAGUAAUGUGUAGGAUAGGUGGGAGGCUAUGAAGCUGGCACGCUAGUGUUGGUGGAGCCGUUGUUGAAAUACCACCCUUUGCUUACUUGGAGCCUAACUUCUGAAAAAGAGUAAGAAGGACAUUGCGUGGUGGGUAGUUUGACUGGGGUGGUCGCCUCCAAAAGAGUAACGGAGGCUUUCAAAGGUACCCUCAGCACGCUUGGUAACCGUGCGUAGAGUGUAAUGGCAUAAGGGUGCUUGACUGUGAGACCAACAAGUCGAUCAGGUGCGAAAGCAGGACAUAGUGAUCCGGUGGUUCCGUAUGGAAGGGCCAUCGCUCAAAGGAUAAAAGGUA
This 2202-nucleotide ribosomal RNA is filed under the name human metagenome. RNAcentral describes it as "bacterial LSU rRNA". It matches the Rfam family "Bacterial large subunit ribosomal RNA", at positions 266 to 2465 of the family's 2925-position model. The record is from RNAcentral.